UCGAGAAUCUUUCGCAAUGGGGGAAACCCUGACGACGCGACGCCGCGUGGAGGAUGAAGGCCUUCGGGUUGUAAACUCCUGUCAGCAGGGGAGAACAAGCUUUUGAUGAAUAAUCGAGAGCUCUGACAGUACCUGCAGAGGAAGCCACGGCUAACUCUGUGCCAGCAGCCGCGGUAAUACAGAGGUGGCAAGCGUUGUUCGGAUUUAUUGGGCGUAAAGGGUCCGUAGGCGGUUUGAGAAGUCGGAUGUUAAAU
Molecule: ribosomal RNA, 254 nt
Filed under: uncultured prokaryote
Description: partial 16S ribosomal RNA
Rfam family: Bacterial small subunit ribosomal RNA
Source: RNAcentral